This 265-nucleotide ribosomal RNA is filed under the name uncultured Clostridia bacterium. RNAcentral's name for it is "partial 16S ribosomal RNA". It matches the Rfam family "Bacterial small subunit ribosomal RNA", at positions 76 to 339 of the family's 1533-position model. Lineage: Bacteria; Bacillati; Bacillota; Clostridia. The record is from RNAcentral.
UUGCUAUUUGAUAUUUCUAGCGGCGGACGGGUGAGUAACGCGUGAGCAACCUGCCUUUAUCAGGGGGAUAACGCAUCGAAAGAUGUGCUAAUACCGCGUAAGACCACAGCCUCACAUGGGGCAGAGGUCAAAGGAGCAAUCCGGAUAAAGAUGGGCUCGCGUCCGAUUAGCUAGUUGGUGAGGUAACGGCCCACCAAGGCGACGAUCAGUAGCCGGACUGAGAGGUUGACCGGCCACAUUGGGACUGAGAUACGGCCCAGACUCC